CAUAUAAACCUGAGACCCUCCCGCCUGCCCUCCCAAGGUGCUGGAAAUGGAGAGAAAGCAGCAAAGGCGUGAUUACGAUGUCAAUUCAUAAACACCGCACCCCGAGAGACUGCAUGGAUGAAAGCGCCAAUGCCACUGGAAAAUUACCCACCCAGCCGGGACAAGUCAUUUGCUACACAGUGGAGCAAAACAACAAACACUCACACACCGGCAUACACACAAAGCGAAAGGCACAAACUGGAGGUGUUCAGCCCUCUUGGCUGCGGGCAGCAGGGGAGGACUGUCACUAUUCAAACAGACGGAGAGAGGCUCACCAGGACUGAGAGGGACUCAGAGGGCAGUGAAUAGCAAGGCCAGGUUGCUGUCCCUCACUCAUCUUUGCCAAGAGGCAAAUCCAAUGGAAGCUGCCCAUGCAGGUCAGGUGUAAAUACGAGCGUUUCUAGGAUUUGAGGACAUUUGGGGCCUCUGUCGGAGCGUCCACCCGGGCACUUUUU
Epinephelus moara (kelp grouper) is the source of this 494-nucleotide long non-coding RNA. RefSeq lists it as uncharacterized. The transcript has 3 exons. The record is from RefSeq and is a predicted model, not a curated record. Lineage: Eukaryota; Metazoa; Chordata; Actinopteri; Perciformes; Serranidae.